This 1174-nucleotide long non-coding RNA is filed under the name Homo sapiens (human). RNAcentral describes it as "HSALNT0262933". Lineage: Eukaryota; Metazoa; Chordata; Mammalia; Primates; Hominidae. The record is from RNAcentral.
UGAGGCUCUAGGUAUAAUCCCAUCUUGGGGCACAAUUCUUCUCUGUGUUGCUGGGGGGUUCGGGGGGGUCUCUGGACAUUGUUGGUGAGAUCCCAGCCCCAGCAGCAUCCAGGUUCUUAACACCAUUGAAAGAAUUCAGUGACGAGUCACAGUGAAGCAAAGGCAAGCAGCUUUUAUUGUGAAGCAAAAGUACACACAAGAGAGAAGUGUGGGAGUGCCCCUGAGAGCAAGUCAUGCAAAACAAAGUUUGGGUUUCUAAUUGUAUGGGUGUUCCUUUAAUAGGGGUAAUCAUUAGGUAUUCUGGGAAAAGAGGGGAUUUCAGGGACCCCUGAUUACCACCCCUCCUCCCUUAUUUGGGUUUGCCUGGAAGAGUUACAGACAUGUCACCCUGACUGGGGUUCUGGCAGUUUUCUCUUUUGUUUUGGGUUUUCUGUUAUCCCACGGUUUCUUUGCCUAGUUCCCGUUUUAGCUGUUGUUUGGGUUUUUCUUUUUUUUUUUCAGCUGCACCAAAACCAGGGUGUUGAGAUUUUCCAUCCUCCUGUGACCACCCAGUGCUAUUCCUGUCUCAUUUGGAUCUGUAAAACUAGAAAACUAGUUAUCACUGAAAUUCACAACAUUAGAAAAGAGGUUUAUGCAGAUUAUUCCUCCUAGGGAAUCCCCUAUCUAUAUUUUUGGCUUUUGCUGAGAUGAGUGAUAGUUUAAACUUCUUAUAAAUUGUUUGUAUUGAGGGGAUCUACAAGUCACAUUUAAUCUCUUCAAAGAGCUUUUUGUGUGACAGUGUUCUGAUGUAUGUUUUGAUCCCGGUAUCAGCAAACAUCCUUGGCUAUCUCUCUAAAACAUCUCUCUCUCUAAAACAUCUAUCUUUCCUAACAAUGAAUCUCUUAAUUUCAAUGGUUUGUUUUUUUUUUCCAAUUAAGAUGGGCUGAGAAUUUCCCAAAUCAUCAAAUCUUAGGUCUUUUCUGUUUCACAGUUCUUCCCUGUAUGUAUCUCUUUUCCAAUAUAUUUUACUAUAAUUAGUAAGAUAUAUGGUCACACCUUCAAAACCUCUGCUUAAAAAUGUUCUCAGCUAAGUGUCCACAUAAAGACUCAUGCAUCAAUAUUUGCAGCAGCUUUUUAAUAUUUAAAAAUGGGGGUGGAGUACAGACAUCAAUUAAGAUAAAUGGAUAAACUGUGG